CCGCAAUGAGGAACGAAACCUGUGCCGGAGGCCGAUUUGUCGAUGUCGUUACACAACCCUCUAAGAAGUUCUGAGCCC
This 78-nucleotide small nucleolar RNA is filed under the name Triticum aestivum (bread wheat). RNAcentral describes it as "Small nucleolar RNA U61". It matches the Rfam family "Small nucleolar RNA U61". Lineage: Eukaryota; Viridiplantae; Streptophyta; Magnoliopsida; Poales; Poaceae. The record is from Rfam by way of RNAcentral. RNAcentral also lists the same sequence under 1 other name.